UGGGGAAUAUUGGACAAUGGGCGCAAGCCUGAUCCAGCCAUGCCGCGUGAGUGAUGAAGGCCCUAGGGUUGUAAAGCUCUUUCACCGGUGAAGAUAAUGACGGUAACCGGAGAAGAAGCCCCGGCUAACUUCGUGCCAGCAGCCGCGGUAAUACGAAGGGGGCUAGCGUUGUUCGGAUUUACUGGGCGUAAAGCGCACGUAGGCGGACUUUUAAGUCAGGGGUGAAAUCCCGGGGCUCAACCCCGGAACUGCCUUUGAUACUGGAAGUCUUGAGUAUGGUAGAGGUGAGUGGAAGUCCGAGUGUAGAGGUGAAAUUCGUAGAUAUUCGGAGGAACACCAGUGGCGAAGGCGGCUCACAGGAGCAUUACUAACGCUGAGGUGCGAAAGCGGGGGGAGCAAACAGG
Molecule: ribosomal RNA, 404 nt
Filed under: Actinomycetes bacterium
Lineage: Bacteria; Bacillati; Actinomycetota; Actinomycetes
Description: Actinobacteria bacterium partial 16S ribosomal RNA
Rfam family: Bacterial small subunit ribosomal RNA
Source: RNAcentral